Molecule: long non-coding RNA, 1138 nt
Filed under: Selaginella moellendorffii
Lineage: Eukaryota; Viridiplantae; Streptophyta; Lycopodiopsida; Selaginellales; Selaginellaceae
Description: long non-coding RNA (SMOE_LNC000388)
Source: RNAcentral
UAGGCUGGUCACAGGACGUGGCCGACAGCCUGGGGAUUCCACGAGUUGCCUUCAUUCCCAGUGACUCAGUCAUCGAAGCGAUGUGCUACCAUAUUCCAGAGCUUGUCUCCAGGGGUUUCAUUCCUGGCCAUGUUCCUGCCAAUGGUGAGAAGAAGAAGAAACUUUACAAUUGCUUCAUACCGAUCGACGAAUAUGUGUUGUUGUCUCAGCCGAUCCAAAUCCGGACGCUUUGAUCGACUUCAUCCCUGGUCUCGAGCCUUUUACAAGAGAGUUGCUCCCUCUUGCCUUCCAGCACGGGGGACCCAUUGUGACCACUGUGGGAGUUGCAGCCAGACGAACAAAGGAUGCGGUUUGCAUUGUCGUCAACACGAUUGAGGAGUUGGAUCAGGAAGUUGUGAAUGGACGGAGGUUGCUAUUCUCCAGUUAUUUACCAGUCGGACCUCUGGUACCUGCGGAGCUUCUGCAAGAACAGCACCCGAUCACUCUCAGUUCUCCAAAUGACACUAGCAUGAUCUGGCUAGACAAACAAGCUUACCGCUCGGUUCUCUAUAUCGCUUUUGGCAGUGUUGUUACUCUGCCAGCCGACCAAGUGGAGAAGAUUGCAAGAGCUGUAAAAGCCACUCGUCAGCCAGUCUUGUGGGCGAUCAGGAGGAACUUUGCAAAAGACGUACCUGAGAACUUUUAUGAAAGCUUGCAAGAGAUAGUUGGGGCGCAAGCCUGCCUGGUGGUGGAAUGGGCUCCACAAGUAAACGUCUUGCGCCACUCCGCGGUUGGAGCCUUCUUAAUGCACGGUGGAUGGAACUCAGCUCUAGAAGCCCUGUGCUGUGGAGUACCAAUGCUUUGCUGGCCCUGCGGUAACGAUCAGAACUUGAAUGCUCUCACGAUAGUGAAGAAGUGGAGAAUUGGGAUAAUGGUGGCUCAUGGACCCAAAGACGAUGUGAGAAGCGAAGACUUGGGAAACGUUAUAGAUGCUGUGAUGAACGGCGAGGAAGGGAGGAGGAUGAGGAGCAGAGCUCAAGAACUUAAAAAGAUCGUGAGGGCAGGUACUUGCCUGGAGAGAAAUCUUCGACAGCUCAAGGAUGUGAUCAUAGCCGCGUCUCAAUAGGGGCCUGCAAUACCAUCUGGAUUCAUACUUGAU